ACGAACGCUGGCGGCGUGCUUAACACAUGCAAGUCGAACGGAAAGGCCCUGCUUUUGUGGGGUGCUCGAGUGGCGAACGGGUGAGUAACACGUGAGUAACCUGCCCUUGACUUUGGGAUAACUUCAGGAAACUGUGGCUAAUACCGGAUAGGAGCUCCUGCUGCAUGGUGGGGGUUGGAAAGUUUCGGCGGUUGGGGAUGGACUCGCGGCUUAUCAGCUUGUUGGUGGGGUAGUGGCUUACCAAGGCUUUGACGGGUAGCCGGCCUGAGAGGGUGACCGGCCACAUUGGGACUGAGAUACGGCCCAGACUCCUACGGGAGGCAGCAGUGGGGAAUAUUGCACAAUGGGCGGAAGCCUGAUGCAGCAACGCCGCGUGCGGGAUGACGGCCUUCGGGUUGUAAACCGCUUUCGCCUGUGACGAAGCGUGAGUGACGGUAAUGGGUAAAGAAGCACCGGCUAACUACGUG
Molecule: ribosomal RNA, 467 nt
Filed under: uncultured bacterium
Lineage: Bacteria
Description: partial 16S ribosomal RNA
Rfam family: Bacterial small subunit ribosomal RNA
Source: RNAcentral